Molecule: ribosomal RNA, 486 nt
Filed under: uncultured bacterium
Lineage: Bacteria
Description: partial 16S ribosomal RNA
Rfam family: Bacterial small subunit ribosomal RNA
Source: RNAcentral
AUUGAACGCUGGCGGCAUGCCUUACACAUGCAAGUCGAACGGCAGCACGGGUGCUUGCACCUGGUGGCGAGUGGCGAACGGGUGAGUAAUACAUCGGAACAUGUCCUGUAGUGGGGGAUAGCCCGGCGAAAGCCGGAUUAAUACCGCAUACGAUCUACGGAUGAAAGUGGGGGACCUUCGGGCCUCGCGCUAUAGGGUUGGCCGAUGGCUGAUUAGCUAGUUGGCGGGGUAAAGGCCUACCAAGGCGACGAUCAGUAGCUGGUCUGAGAGGACGACCAGCCACACUGGGACUGAGACACGGCCCAGACUCCUACGGGAGGCAGCAGUGGGGAAUUUUGGACAAUGGGCGAAAGCCUGAUCCAGCAAUGCCGCGUGUGUGAAGAAGGCCUUCGGGUUGUAAAGCACUUUUGUCCGGAAAGAAAUCCUUGGCUCUAAUACAGUCGGGGGAUGACGGUACCGGAAGAAUAAGCACCGGCUAACUACGUG